UACGGGGGGGGCAAGCGUUGUUCGGAAUUACUGGGCGUAAAGGGCUCGUAGGCAGCCCUCUCAGUCGGAUGUGAAAUCCCCAGGCUUAACCUGGGAACGGCAUCCGAUACUGGAGGGCUUGAAUUCGGGAGAGGGAUGCAGAAUUCCAGGUGUAGCGGUGAAAUGCGUAGAUAUCUGGAGGAAUACCGGUGGCGAAGGCGGCAUCCUGGACCGAGAUUGACGCUGAGGAGCGAAAGCUAGGGGAGCAAACGGG
This 253-nucleotide ribosomal RNA is filed under the name uncultured bacterium. RNAcentral describes it as "partial 16S ribosomal RNA". It matches the Rfam family "Bacterial small subunit ribosomal RNA", at positions 524 to 776 of the family's 1533-position model. The record is from RNAcentral.